CAGGGGGAAGAAGGUGGGAUCAGCUGGCUUGCUAAGUCUUCCCACUCUCAUCUUUCUCUCUUGCUGGAUGCUUCCAGCUCUUGAACAUCAGAUUCCAGGUUCUGCAGCCUUUGGACUCUUGGACUUAGACCAGUGGUUUGCCGGGGGAUCUCAGAUCUUCAGCCACAUACUGAAGUCUGCACUGUUGGCUUCCCUACUUUUGAGGCUUUGGAACUCUGACUGAGCAACUACUGGCUUCGUUGCUCCUCAGCUUGCAGGUGGCCUAUCGUGGGACUUCACCUUGUGAUCACGAGCAAAUGAGUGAUGCCAACAGGAAAUGACGUGGAAAGAGAUGACUUCUUUGGAGCAGCCAUGAUGGAGUUAGAAAGGAGUUGGAGGAUGAGCAGGGCCUGGGAGUCCCUCAUCGCUCAGACUGUACUGAUACAGGAGUCUCUCAGAAAGACAACAUUUUCUCCUCCUAAAGGAAGCAGGUUUCUGUCACCCAGGCUGGAGUACAGUGGCACGAUCACAGCUCACUGCACCCUCAACUUCCCAGGCUCAGGUGAUUCUCCUGCAUCAGCCUCCCGAGUAGCUGGGACUACAGGUGUGGACACAUUGAGAAGUCACUAUCUAUGAACUAGGAAGCAGGAUCUCACCAGACAUCGAAUCUGCUGAUGCCUUCAUCUUGGACUUCUCUCUCAGCCUCCAGAACUGUGAGAAAUAAAGUCCUGUUGUUUAUAAGCCACUCAGUCUAUGGUAUUUUAUUACAGCAAACCGAAUGGGCAAAGACAUGGGUGAAGUUAUCCAGGACCC
This 792-nucleotide long non-coding RNA is filed under the name Homo sapiens (human). The record is from RNAcentral. Lineage: Eukaryota; Metazoa; Chordata; Mammalia; Primates; Hominidae.